UACGUAGGGGGCAAGCGUUGUCCGGAAUCACUGGGCGUAAAGCGCGCGCAGGCGGCUAUCUACGUCCGGGGUGAAAGCCCAGAGCUCAACUCUGGGAUUGCCUUGGAUACGGGAUGGCUUGAGGAUCGGAGAGGCAAGGGGAAUUCCAGGUGUAGCGGUGAAAUGCGUAGAUAUCUGGAGGAAUACCGGUGGCGAAGGCGGCAUUCUGGACCGACAUUGACACUAAAGCGCGAAAGCCAGGGGAGCAAACGGG
Molecule: ribosomal RNA, 253 nt
Filed under: uncultured bacterium
Lineage: Bacteria
Description: partial 16S ribosomal RNA
Rfam family: Bacterial small subunit ribosomal RNA
Source: RNAcentral